UAUUUAGGUAGUGCCUCAAGUAUCACCAUCGGGGGUAGAGCACUGUUAUGGCUAGGGGGUCAUUGCGACUUACCAAACCAUUGCAAACUCCGAAUACCGAUGAGUGCGAGCUUGGGAGACAGACGUCGGGUGCUAACGUCCGGCGUCAAGAGGGAAACAACCCAGACCGCCAGCUAAGGUCCCAAAGAUUGGCUAAGUGGAAAACGAAGUGGGAAGGCUAAAACAGUCAGGAUGUUGGCUUAGAAGCAGCCAUCAUUUAAAGAAAGCGUAAUAGCUCACUGAUCGAGUCGUCCUGCGCGGAAGAUGUAACGGGGCUAAGCCAGUCACCGAAGCUGCGGAUAUUGUUCUGUGAUUUAUCACAGAUAUAUAUGGUAGGAGAGCGUUCUGUAAGCCUGCGAAGGUGUCUUGUAAAGGAUGCUGGAGGUAUCAGAAGUGCGAAUGCUGACAUGAGUAGCGAUAAUGGGGGUGAAAAGCCUCCACGCCGUAAGCCCAAGGUUUCCUGUUCAACGUUCAUCGGAGCAGGGUGAGUCGGCCCCUAAGGCGAGGCAGAGAUGCGUAGCUGAUGGGAAGCAGGUUAAUAUUCCUGCACCGUCGUAUGAUGCGAUGGGGGGACGGAUCGCGGAAGGUUGUCCAACUGUUGGAAUAGUUGGUUUUUGGCUCAUAGAAGGCACUUAGGCAAAUCCGGGUGCGCAAUUCAAGGGGUUGAGACGAGUGCACUUGUGCAUGAAGCAAUCGGAAGUGGUUCCAAGAAAAGCCUCUAAGCUUCAGUCAUACGAGACCGUACCGCAAACCGACACAGGUGGGCGAGAUGAGUAUUCUAAGGCGCUUGAGAGAACUCGGGAGAAGGAACUCGGCAAAUUGGUACCGUAACUUCGGGAAAAGGUACGCCCCGGUAGCUUGACUGGUUUACUCCAGAAGGGUGAAAGGGUUGCAAUAAACUGGUG
Molecule: ribosomal RNA, 944 nt
Filed under: Streptococcus danieliae
Lineage: Bacteria; Bacillati; Bacillota; Bacilli; Lactobacillales; Streptococcaceae
Description: partial 23S ribosomal RNA
Rfam family: Bacterial large subunit ribosomal RNA
Source: RNAcentral